Molecule: transfer RNA, 71 nt
Organism: Gemmata sp. SH-PL17
Lineage: Bacteria; Pseudomonadati; Planctomycetota; Planctomycetia; Gemmatales; Gemmataceae
Rfam family: tRNA
About the family: Transfer RNA (tRNA) molecules are approximately 80 nucleotides in length. Their secondary structure includes four short double-helical elements and three loops (D, anti-codon, and T loops).
Source: Rfam
GCCCCUGUGAUGUAACGGUAGCUUGCCGUCUUGGUAUGGCGGACGCGCGGGUUCAACUCCCGCCGGGGGCU